Molecule: long non-coding RNA, 2722 nt
Organism: Oncorhynchus tshawytscha (Chinook salmon)
Lineage: Eukaryota; Metazoa; Chordata; Actinopteri; Salmoniformes; Salmonidae
Source: Ensembl
CGGUCUGCAUGGAGCAGCCAGAGCUGCCGGUCUGCAUGGAGCAGCCAGAGCUGCCGGUCUGCAUGGAGCAGCCAGAGCUGCCGGUCUGCAUGAAGCAGCCAGAGCUGCCGGUCUGCAUGAAGCAGCCAGAGCUGCCAGUCUGCAAGGAGCUGCCAGUCUGCAAGGAGCUGCCAGUCUGCACGGAGCUGCCAGUCUGCACGGAGCUGCCAGUCUGCAAGGAGCUGUCAGUCUGCAAGGAGCUGCCAGUCUGCACGGAGCCGCCAGAGCUGCCAGUCUGUAAGAAGCCGCCAGAGCCGUCAGCCUACAUGGAGCAACCAGAGCCGCCAGUCAGCAUGGAGCAGCCAGAUCUUUCAGUCUGCCAGGAUCCGCCAGUCAGCCAGACUCUUCCCGAUCCUUCCCAGUCAGCCAGACUCUUCCCGAUCCGCCAGUCAGCCAGACUCUUCCCGAUCCGCCAGUCAGCCAGACUCUUCCCGAUCCGCCAGUCAGCCAGACUCUUCCCGAUCCGCCAGUCAGCCAGACUCUUCCCGAUCCGCCAGUCAGCCAGACUCUUCCAGAUCCGCCAGUCAGCCAGACUCUUCCAGAUCCGCCAGUCAGCCAGACUCUUCCAGAUCCGCCAGUCAACCAGACUCUUCCAGAUCCGCCAGUCAACCAGAUCUGCCAGUCAGCCAGACUCUUCCAGAUCUGCUAGUCAACCAGACUCUUCCAGAUCUGCUAGUCAACCAGACUCUUCCAGAUCUGCCAGUCAACCAGACUCUUCCAGAUCUGCCAGUCAACCAGACUCUUCCAGAUCCGCCAGUCAGCCGGAAUCUGCCAGGAUCCGCCAGUCGGCCAGGAUCCGCCAGUCGGCCAGGAUCCGCCAGUCGACCAGGAUCCGCCAGCCGGCCAGGAUCUGGUAGAUCCAUCAACCUGCCUGAGCUUCCUCUCACUCCCGAGCUUCCUCUCACUCCCGAGCUUCCUCUCACUCCCGAGCUUUCUCUCAGUCCCGAGCUUCCCCUCAGUCCAGAGCUUCCCCUCAGUCCCGAUCUGCUCCUCAGUCCAGUGGGGUUCUGGGUGAGGACUACUAGGCCAUGAUCGGCGGCGAGGGUGGACUAUCCAGGGACGCGAGGAGAAGGGACUAAGACAUUGACUGAGUGGGGUCCACGUCCCGCGCCGGAGCCGCCACCAUGGACAGACGCCCACCCGAACCCUCCCUAUUGUUUUGAGGUGCGUUCGGGAGUCCGCACCUUAGGGGAGGGGGUUCUGUCACGCCCUGGUCGAAGUAUUUUGUGUUUAUCUUCAUGUAUUGGGUCAGGCCAGGGUGUGGCAUGGGGUUUUUGUAUGUGGUGUGUAUAUAUUGGGAUUGUAGCUAGUGGGGUGAACUAGUAAAGUCUAUGGCUGUCUGGAGUGGUUCUCAAUCAGAGGCAGGUGUUUAUCGUUGUCUCUGAUUGGGAACCAUAUUUAGGCAGCCAUAUUCUUUGAGUUUGUCGUGGGUGAUUGUCCUUAGUGUCGUUGUUCCUAUCUCUUUAUUUAUUUACACAAGUAUAGGCUGUUUCGGUUUUCGUUACGUUCUUUGUUUUGUAGUGUUUUGUGUUUAUUCGUGUUUCACGUUGUUCAUUAAACAUGGAUCGCAAUCUACACGCUGCAUUUUGGUCUGACUAUCCUUCACACCUAGAAAACCGUAACAAAGGUUCUGAAAAUAUAUUAGCAGAUGCUUUGUCUCGUGUGUAAAUGUGAUUAUUUUUGGUAUGUUUUGUAAAUACUGUGGUCGCAAUCACCAUGGGUUGCUCUUUUAAGGGUGGGAGUGUUACGGAUACAGGUAUCCUGUGUGUGUGUAUCCUGUGUGUGUGUUUCUUUUCUCUCCUUUGCCACCUGUGAGGGGAGAUCAUCAUUCCUCAAUCAGUCACCACGCAGUCAUCAAUCAGAGGACACACCUCCUCCUGUUUCCAUUACCCAAUCACAUCCCCUUGGUUUAAAAACCCAUUCAGUUUCCUCUGGAGCUCAAUCUCUGUCUCGACCCCACUGUGGUUCAAUAUCUCUGUGUCUCUCUCUCUCGCUAUAUCUAUCUCUUUGGAUUGAGCUGUCUUUUGUUUUUGCAACUACAUGUCACUUUGUCCUCACCUGUGAGUAUUGUUAUGGUGUUUGACUAUUUGUUUGAUGGUGGGAAAAGGGGGUGCCAAGUCGCCCAUGGGCAUACAUUACCUGUAGGACAACUUUGUCUAAAUAUCCUAGUUAGAACUGGGUGGACCACCUGCUGUAUUUUUGGUUAGUUAGUUAGCUGUAUUGAAGUAGGCUAGUCUAGCUUAGGGGUGUUUAGAAAUAAACCAUGAGAGUUUGACGGUAAAUUUAGUUGUCUGUAGUUAUUUGUUCUCACUGUUAUAAUUUGCAUGAGUUAUGUUACGGGUCUCGUUGCCAUCCCCCCCUAGACUGCAGAGCCAAUGGGAUUCGUAACAGCUGGUUAGGAGACUCCGCUAGAGACACUGUGAUUGUGAUGAACUGAGAGAAUAUUAGGGUAGCACUGUGAUUCAUUAAUCAUAUGCUGUCUUUCCUGAUUCUCUGUUCUUACCUCCUUUCCCUUUCGGUCUUCUACAUCUCUCUCCCCACCCCUUUUUAAUAAUACACACCAUAUGUGCAUUGAAGUACAGAUUGGACUUGUAUUUAUAUUACAAUUAUAAUAUUUAUAAUGCAUGUAUUAUGUAUUUAUAACACCUGGAUAAUGAACUUCUUUCAAUAAAGCGUUUAACUU